RNAcentral lists this ribosomal RNA (384 nucleotides) under uncultured bacterium. RNAcentral's name for it is "bacterial SSU rRNA". It matches the Rfam family "Bacterial small subunit ribosomal RNA", at positions 29 to 417 of the family's 1533-position model. The record is from RNAcentral.
AUUGAACGCUGGCGGCAUGCCUUACACAUGCAAGUCGAACGGCAGCACGGGAGCAAUCCUGGUGGCGAGUGGCGAACGGGUGAGUAAUAUAUCGGAACGUGCCCAGUGAUGGGGGAUAGCCCGGCGAAAGCCGGAUUAAUACCGCAUACGACCUACGGGUGAAAGCAGGGAUCGCAAGACCUUGCGUCAUUGGAGCGGCCGAUAUCAGAUUAGCUUGNGGUGGGGUAAAGCCUACCAAGGCGACGAUCUGUAGCUGGUCUGAGAGGACGACCAGCCACACUGGGACUGAGACACGGCCCAGACUCCUACGGGAGGCAGCAGUGGGGAAUUUUGGACAAUGGGCGCAAGCCUGAUCCAGCCAUGCCGCGUGCGGGAAGAAGGCCU